AACACAAAACCUCUCCACAUCCCUUGAUUAUUCAACACACUUAUGUGGGGUUUCUCCUUUAAACCUAGAGCAUUUUUCUUACUAUACCCUCAAUUUUUAGUCUCUUUUUGUCUUUUGUGUUUUAUUUAUUUAUUAUUUUCUUAUUAUUGUUUUAUUUAUUUAUUUUUGUUCUUUCUUUUAUUUCCUUUAGUUUUUUUAGUUCUUUUACCUUUUGUAUUGAUAUUAUGAUUUCCCUUUUAUUAUUUCUUUUACUUUUUUUUAUUACUUUAUUUUUUAGUUUAUUUUAUUGUAUUUUUAGUUGAUGCAUAAUUGUUAAUCCAAAAAGACAAAAUGACCAUUAAAAUUAAACUUUCAAAAAUACUAAAAUAAAAGGUGUUUGAUCAACAUCAAGUACAUUUUUCAAAAGCAUACUAAGUCUUUUUCUUUAAUAAGCGCCUCAUAUCAUUUCAAACCAUUUCAUAAAUCAUUUUUACUAACGCGAUAAACACGCAAUCAACAUCAAGUUGCAUGUCCGCUUACUCUAAGCGAUUAAAUACUUUUCUUAAUUAAACUUCGAAUGAAAAAGGGAAUGGGAGACGUUCGCCUCACCACCCCUCGAAUGAUUGAACGAUUGACGCUUGUCAUAUUACUCGAAUUUCCGUCUUCCGAUUAAAACACUCUAAAUAAACUUGGAUAAAGGAAUAAGUGACACACACCUCAUUAUUCCUCGAAUAAGCAAGUGGGAGGUGCUCGCCUCACUACCGCGAAUAGUCGACUUCCACAAACAAUUUUCAAAUACCAAAUUGGACAAAAAAGGAACGGGGACACUCACCCUCACUAUUCCUUGAAUAAGUGAAUAAUUGACGCGCACCAUAUUGCUCAAACUUUCGUCAAUCCCCCUAAAAAACAUACAAACACAUUAACUUAAUUUCUCGCCUCUGUGGGAUCAACACCUUCUUUUUGAAAAGAACAUUGUUAAAUCAUUUCUAAUGCAUAUACAAACUAGCGCUUAAGUCUCCCUCUACGAGCAUGCAAGCCCAUGUUUAACCGUUAGAAUUCGAUCUAAGAACUUAUUCAUUAAAACAAACUUCAAACAAUCAAACCUAUCUUUUUCUCGCCCCCGUCCGAUAAAAAUCCUUUUCACAAAUGGACAUUGUUUAGUCCUUUCUAAUGCGUACACAAACUAGCGCUUAAGUCUCUCAUGCGCGAGCAUACAAUUAAAUAUUUAAACUGCUAGAAUGCGACCAAACGAGAUCCCUUCUACUGCAAAAGAAACAAACACUAAGUCCCCCCAUCCGUGAGCAAACAAGUUAAUGUUUAAACUGUUACAAUGCGACCUAAAUAUUUGUCCUCUAAAAUCAAUCAAUCAACACUCUUUUGCUACCCCGAACUACGAAGCUUUGAGUUCCUCAUUGUACUCGAGGAUACGUAGGAGCAAGACUCACAAUUUUGUCAAACAUUAUAAUAAAAAUAUUUUUGCGACCCCUUUUAUUUUACACUUUCAAUAACUCGAAGAAAAUAAUUAACAUAAGCCAACAUUCAAUCGCGAAUUUAACUAAAAGGUUCACGUUGAGUACAACAGACGUGAGUGGUGCUAAUACCUUCCCCUUGUGUAAUCUACUCCCGAAUUCGAAUUUGUUUGUGACAGUCAUUUUCCUUUUUUUAAGGUUUUAUCAAUAUUUUCCUAUUCCUUCAUUAAAAUAAAUAAAGUUCAGUGGUGACUCUGUUCGAAUCAUUUUUUCUGUGACUUCGCGAAGGAUCAUAUUUUUUGAGAUGCGACACACCCAACCUCCAAACACUCAACUUUGCAACCAAUAGAUGCCACACACCCAAACAAAAUACCAAGAGUAUGACCCAUGACACCAAUAACCACAUGCUCCCACCACAUAUUACUAUAGCCUCAAUGAUUCAUUUGAUUCCAUAAUAUCCCACCAUAGCCCCCCACCAAUGAACACCCAAACAUCCCACCACCAAAGCAUCCAACCACAAUAUGACUUUGUUACACCACAAGAAUCAUUGCUUCGUUUCUAAAACGAUUUAAUGUCAUGAUUCAACCAACCAUAUCGUCCACUCAUAACCCAACCACAACGACCCAACUACGACAACAUAACCACCAAACUAAAUUACGGCAGUACCGUUGACGGUAACCCUCAACUAUUGAGAAGAAAUGAUGACAAAUAUGUCAAAUACUCCAGGACCCUCACAUCAACCACCUUUUCCUCAACCAACAUUCAAAGACCCUAAACACCUCAAAGAAAUCGUGAGAGACCUCGAAGACAGACUAAUGCACCAGGAUGUGGAACCUGAGGAUGUUUCAAUCGGGCGAAUCAUUUUAUGUAUUUGAAUUUUAUAAGGUAAUAUCAUGGAUUAUUUUUAAUUUUCUUCUUUAUUUCAAAUUUUUUAAAUUAUAAUUAAAAAAAGUUAAAAAAUAAAUAAAGGAGUAACCACAUGCAAUGACACAUGCUCCUAAUGGAUGCAUGCAUGCGCCACUUAAAGUGAUAUGUUUUCAAUGCUGUCACCAUCAUCAUCGGUGCCUUAGUGUAUAAGAAUAAUCUAUCUGUCAUUUCUCCUGACUAUUUUUUUUGAAAAAUAGUUAUUUUGAUAAAUAAUUUAAAAAUAUAAUUGUUUUAGUGUUUAAUUUAAAAAUAGUAGUUAUUUUAAAAAAAAUUCAAAAAUUGAUGUAAAUACGUGUGAUUAAAUUUUAUUGACUGAACAUAAAAAAAAUCUAUUUAUUGAAUUUAGCGAAUGAAUAUAAAGUUUAAUUGAAAUACACUGACAGUGUAAAAUGAUUUUACAUCGUCAGUUAAUAAUAGAGGUUGAAUAUUAAAAUAAAUUUAAUUUUUAUUUUAAAAAUCUAUAAAGUAAUACAAACAAGAAAAAUGAUGAUGAUGAAUUGAUAGAGUAAAACUUUAUAACUUAAAGACAAUAGUAAUUACUCUCAUGAAUAUUUCGUCCCAUAUAAAAAACGAUGAUAUUUGUCAUUUUUGUUAUUUUUCCCUCAACUCACAAACCGUUAAAAAAAUAAUAAAAUAAUUGAAAAGAGAAAUAAUCAUGAUAUAUUUAUAAAUUCAUUAGUUAAUUUGUAGCAUUUCUGAAAUUAUUAGAUCGAAGAAGCUCCUUCCGACAAAGAAAGGUUCGCAUCAUAUUCACAAAUUUCUACUCUUUUUCUUUCUUUUCGUUUUUCUCUCAUCCAGAUCUAUAAAUUAUCAUGAAUUUGAGAAAUCAUCGUUAAUAAAAAUCCUGCUAGUGAUUUUUAUAAUUUCAUAGGUUAUUCUCUUGGAACCCUAAAUUCUGGGUUGUAUAUAGGUUAUGGAAUUGAAAUUCCAGAUGAAUUUGAUAAAAUUGUUUAGUUUUUUUUUAUAGUUUUUUUUUAUUUUUUAUAAUUUUUUUUAGAUGCAAUUGAUUUCAUUUGUGUUAUUUUGGAGGAUAUGCUGUGUUGAAACCCUAUUUUAUCGGUUGUUUUAAGUAAUUAUUUUCAAUUUCUAUAUGUAUCUUAUUUUCUUAGGGUUCAUAGAUACAAAAACUAAUUAGUUAACAUGUUAAUCAUGAUUUUACCAUGGUUUUGCAGUUUGUGAAACAUGUUGGUUGUAAUAUUUGAAGCAUUGACACCUUUGAAAAAUGUGUGACCGUGACCGAAAUCGAUAGUGACGGUUGUAAUUACGUUUAAUUUAUUGGUAUUUUCAAAUUAUUACCGGUGUCAACGUGUUAGUGUCGGUGUUGUGUUUUCGGUGUCCAUGCCUCAUAGGUCCUAAUAUUGUAUAAUAGGAACAAAAGUUAAGUAGUUAACGUGCUUAAUGCGCCAAUCGUGAUUUUAUUUUUAUGGUUUUGAAAUUGCUAAAACAUGGUUGUUACUUGUUAUGAUACUGUAUAAUGUUUACCUUGCUUAUUUUUUCAUUAUUGCUUAAUGUAGAUAUCCUCGAUGGUUAAAACCUUAAAAUCCAGGAAAUUAUUGGCUUGUUAAGGUUGUUAGUGAAACACUUUUUCCAUAUUUGUUAAAUACUCCUGCAGGUCUAACUUACUAAUAUUCUUUAUAGAAAAAAGUGUGUGUGUACUAUGUAUCUAUGUGCAUAUGUAUAUGUGUAUGAUUAAUGAGAGAAACACACACUAAAUUUUUGGACUCAAAUGUUGUUGCAGAAAAUGGAAUAUUGCAUGCUUCUGAUUUUCUAUUUCUUUUCAUCUCCUGAUAUGAUAGGUUCUAAUUGGUCAAAAACAUGUCUCAUCGCCAAGGAGGUGAUGCUGAAUAUUUUGCGGAUGAAUAUGAAAUGGAUGAUGUAGAAGAGGAUAUCGAUAUAGAUGGUGAAUCUAUUAAUAGAGAGGGAGGUGACGUUGACUCCGACGUUGAUGAAUAUGAUUACUCGGUUCGUAAUAUGCCGUUUCCUAAAUUUUUACAUUUUUUACUGUUAUGGAUAUGUUGUACACGAUGAUGUUUUAUUGUACAAUAACCCAUUUUCCAUUUAUGGGGGCGUCGACUUACUCUCCUAGUUAAAUAAAUAAUUCAUCAAGCAAAUGUAAAUUAUUGUAUCUUUCUACGAGUAACAUUAUUGUUAUGAUGGCAGAGUAGUAAAGCGGUAGACACUACAGCUGCUCAAGCUAGAAGAGGACAAGACAUCCAGGGGAUUCCGUGGGAUAGCCUUAGCAUCACCAGAGAAAGGUAUCGGCAAACGAGGCUUGAGCAAUACAAGAAUUAUGAAAAUAUCCCCCAAUCAGGGGAAAGGUCAGGGAAGGUAACAAUUUGAUGCAUUUUCUCUUUGAUAUUUCAGAGAAAAAACUUCAUAUAUGUCACCGGCCAUAACUAUGGCCAAUAUAAACCAUAGUCACAGAAUUCGCCACAGUACACAGAACUGCGGAUUGGUCCUCGAGUACCUGUUCCCGGUAUUUCUUUUUUGCGAUUUGGUUCACGCAAUUUCAUGAGAAAUUUGCAGGAAUCCGUGUACCAGAGAGGCAAAACCAUCUCUGGUUUAAUUGAGCAUUAUAAUACUAAGUAAAAUAAAAACCGGCUAAAGAAACCGUUGUUUAAAUACUGCACUGGCAAUGGGAAAUACUCAUCGCAUUAAAAAAGGGAGAUAUCACUGGCCUUCACAUGCGCCGCACCUUGCUGUACACUGGAGCGUUGGUCUAUACACUGUUUAUAUUUAGUUUACCUCUAUGUUUUCCAAGCUUCCGAUGUGGGACUAUAGUGCUAUCUCCUAAUGUCGGACUACUCCUAUAGCCCUAUCUCUCUAUGUUUGACAAGCCACAUACUUGGGUGCAUAUCCUCUAUUGGUGACUAUUGGACUAUCCUUUUUAAGGUGACUUUUGUUGGAAUCUGAUUUUUUAAACAAAUGUUAAUUACUCUUCUUGAUAAUAGAUGCUUAGAUCAUAGAUACUCAAAUAAUUAUUUUGACAAUAGGGAAUUAGUUCCUAAAAUGAAAUUGCAUUUUUUUUAAUACUAAAAAAUGCUACCGGUCUAUUAUAUUAUAAAUCACACAACUAUAUAACAUCUUAGUGCUCAGUUUUUUAACAAUAUAAAUUGUUUUUUGACGAUUUUAAUGAUAUUAAUUUAAUUUGAAUUACAAAAGAUGUAAUCUACAUAAAUGGUAAACUAAAAAUAUUUCUAAAACUUCCAUUUUCUUGAAAAUGCGAACUAUCAAUUUUUCAUUACUAUUAAAAUGUAUUUAUGGAUAGUUUGAGAUUCUUUUGUUUUUAUCAUUUUUCGUGUUGUUUUUAAAUUAGAUAUUUUUAAUUCACAGUGUACCGAUUAGUAUAUUAAAACAUAUUACAAACCGAAAUAGUGCACUGACUAUGUAUACCAUGUACCUAAUACUUUGAGGGUUGUGUACCACAUACCCAAAACCGUAACACGUACUGCAGAAAAUUGUGAACCAGGCGACUAUGAUAUAAAUAACACCAUGCUUACCUGUUCAUUAUUGUCUAUUACAAACAGGAUUGUAACAGUACAGACAAAGGAUACUCAUUUUAUGAGUUCAGGAGAAAUUCAAGAUCAGUAAAAUCAACAAUUCUUCAUUUUCAGGUAAGCUGUAGCCUGUAUCUACUCUGGUUUUUAUAAUGGAUUAAGGAUGCUCUAGGACAUUUUACUGCACAAUGGCUCUGUUUAACUGUUUUUUAUAAAUUAAAAGUUAGAUCAGCUUAUUACAAUAUGAAAUAUAUUAAACCAAUGGUCCAAACUUUAAGUCAAGUCUGAAAAGUGUUGGUACUUCAAUGCACCGUGUAUUGAAAUUGAUAGCAAGAGUAAAGGGAGAAGGAAGAGACUCUACAUCACUCUAUACCGAACGGCCACAUGAUAAAAUGCUCAUAAUCAUUGAAUAGGUUCAAAAAAUUAAAAAUAUGCAGGUAUCCAAUACCUGCAAUAUUUAUCUGGUGGCCAGUUUAAAAUACUCAGUUGCUGGUUUGAAUCAGUAUGUGGUAAGCAACUAAAUUUGGUAGAGAGAGCUCUGAGGUUUUCACAGCUGGAACAUGUGAUUUAUUAUAUAUUAUGUCAAAUUUUGUAGUCUGUUCAUAGGAUGCGAAGCUUGAGCAGUACCUUGGAUGCAAUAGGCUUCGAAGAGAUGUGAUCUCAUGUGGUUUGACUGAUAUUCCCUCCUUUUUUUUAUACUUAUGCAGUUGAGGAAUUUGGUUUGGGCUACAUCAAAGCAUGAUGUAUACCUUAUGUCUCAGUUCUCAGUAACACAUUGGUCUUCUUUGACUUGCACAAGGUCUGAAGUACUCAAUGUUUCAGGACAUGUUGCACCAUCAGAGGUGAAUAGUCCUUUAAAUAAUGUUUUUAAUUGGAUAGCCCUCUAAACCAUGUUGCACCGUCAUGUAGCACAAGGUCUAAAGAAUGGUUUGACUUCUGAUUGUUCAUUGCAUUAAUUUUGAGAAAAUAAUUGUCAAUCAUGUUUGUAAUCUUCCAUGUUAUCAUUUUUCCUUGUCAGAAACAUCCUGGAAGUCUAUUGGAAGGAUUCACACACACUCAAGUUAGUACACUUGCAGUAAAAGAUAAUCUUCUAGUUGCUGGAGGAUUUCAGGGUGAACUUAUUUGCAAGGUAAAUGUUAAUUUGCUUGUUAUUGAGGAAUACGAUUUUUUUAAAUCUGUUGCGAAUAGAGCAGUAAGUAUAAUUUGUAAUCCUGGACAUCCACAUUCUGAUCAUUCCGUGAAACGUUUAAACAAAAUUUAAAGAAUGCAAUGCACUGCUUUCGUAAGUUCAUACGCAACAUGCACAAGCAGACAUGUGAUUUAUAUGUGGUGAUGAAUAACUUUUUUAGGUAACAUUGUAAAGACUUAAAUAUAUUUUUUGUCUAUGUAAAAGAGACUGUUUUGGAAAGAUCUGCCCAAUUUUCUCAUUUUGUGGCUUCCUAAAUAUCUCAGUAAUUUAGUGUUUUUCAAAUUUUACAGACCAUGUGGAACCUAAGAACAAUUAAUGAGCAUUGUUUUAAUAAUUGGUGGAGUACUAGAGUGUUGCAACUCCUCUCUCCUUCAUUUUCCAGCCCUUUUUUAAAUUUCUUUUCAAGGAAUACUUGAAUUAUCAUUUUCAUUCAUGUUAAUCCUAAUUGGGCAUUUGCAUAUGCAUUCAGUUUGGUUUGCAUUGCUAUUAGAUUCUGCAUGUUUUUUAGUUAUAUUUGCAGAUGCUGUAGACGUGUCCCUCGGAAUUUGUUUUUGUUAUUAGAACCAUCAGCUGAUAUACUUUCAUCACUUUCUUUGUUACUGAAAUGCAGCACCUAGACCGACCUGGUGUCAGCUUUUGCUCAAGGACUACUUAUGAUGAUAACGCUAUCACCAAUGCCAUUGAGAUUUAUGCUUCUCCUAGGUAUUUAGUUUUCUUUCUAAUUGUUUUGUUAUUUUAAGAAUGGUUAUAGGUACCUGUGUUUUAAUACCAUUGGUUCCUGCUUUUUAGUGGGGCAGUUCAUUUCACAGCAUCAAAUAAUGAUUGUGGAAUCAGAAACUUUGAUAUGGAGAAGUUUCAACUCUCUAAGCAUUUUCGUUUUCCCUGGCCAGUGAAUGUGAGUCUCUUAGAUUAUGUUCUAAUCUUUUAGUUUCCUACCUCUCUUAAGAUGAUAAGUGAAUACUUUAAUUUUGUUCUUCAGAAGUUUUAUUGCCAUUUCUUUUUGCAUUAAUGAGCAAUUUUUGCAUUAUGACACAUUUGCUCUAUGGAUGAGUCGAUUGAUUUCCCACCCUAAUUUGACUUAUAAAGUUUAUUCUCGAAGUUCAACAAUUAGAAGAAAUAAUGAACAAAUUCGAGUGUCAAUAUGGGCCUUCAGCGACUAGCUAGAAUUGUUGAUAUCUUUCUGUUCUUGUGACAUUCCUUUGCUUUCUAUUUAUGUUCUCAUCUUUGUCCGUUUUUUCCCAUGCUGCAGCAUACUUCUCUCAGUCCAGAUGGUAAGCUACUUCUGAUUGUUGGAGACAAUCCUGAAAGCAUGUUGGUGGACUCUCAAAAUGGAAAGGUAGUACACUACGCCCGUUUCGGUCAAACAACCAAACACUUCUUCAGUUAGUUGCAUCCAAAGAGUACUAGUACAUGAUUGCAAAUCUUGCUAAUCCGAAUUUCCUUAUUUUGCAGACUAUUGCUCCAUUAUCUGGGCACUUAGAUUUUUCAUUUGCAUCAUCAUGGAAUCCUGAUGGCGUGACCUUUGCUACUGGAAACCAGGACAAAACCUGUAGGAUUUGGGACAUGCGAAACUUAUCCAAGUCAGUGGCAGUGUUGAAGGGAAAUCUCGGAGCUAUCCGUUCAAUCCGACAUUCUUCUGACGGCAAGUAUAUGGCUAUAGCCGAGCCUGCAGAUUUUGUCCAUGUAUAUGAUGUGAAAAGUGGGUAUGAGAAAGAACAGGAAAUCGAUUUCUUCGGUGAGAUAUCCGGCAUAUCUUUCAGUCCAGACACCGAAUCCCUUUUCAUCGGGGUUUGGGAUCGUACAUAUGGCAGCCUUCUUGAAUAUGGCCGACGUCAUAAUUACUCAUACGCUGACCUAAUGAUUUAGUCGAAUAUAUUCAAGACGAGGGAUAAAGUAACAUAAUAGACAGUGCACUUGAUCGAACAGCUUGCUUUAUGUAUCCUUUUGGGGUAGGUUGUUAAUGUAUAAAUUGAGUGUCCUGCAAGUUACCUCAAAUUUGUAGUUAUAGUAGGGCGUGUUUGUGUUUAUAAUGGUGUGUGUGUGUGGAAAGUGAGGUAGUAGGAGGCUAGAAGAAGAUGAUGGUGCAAACAGAUCUUGCUGAGUAUCAUCAUCAUCACUAUGUAAUGCAGUAGUUUUCUGUCUUGGAAAAACUCACUAUGGCAAUAACAUAUAUAUAUAUAUAUAUAUCUUGAUAUUUCUUGGUCCUAUUUGUCCAUUGAUUGUCUAGUUAGUGUUUGAGUGGAGCAUAGGUAGUAUGCAUCAUUCAAAGGAAAACUAAGUAGUUUGUUGUAUGAAGAUUUUAUGUUACAUUAGCCUUUUGUAUUUUGUUUAUCUUUGUCAAGUUUUUAUGUCCAUGUUGAUGUAUUACAAAACUUGAUGGAAUAUAUAAAUACUAAAAGAAUAGUAUUGAGAAACUAGGACUUACCUGGUUAACUUUUCCAUAAACAACUAUAAGCUUAUUAAACUUAUUUUCUAUCAAAAAGAAAAAUGUAAACUUAUUUCAAUUUUAAAAAUUAUCAUAACUUAAAAACUAAUUUAAAUUUAGUGAGCCAUGUACAAUCAAAUUAAGUUCAAGUUGCUGUAAUUUUAAGAUACUCAAUUUAAUAUUUAAUAAUAAAAAAAUAAAAAGAAGUUUUUUAUAAAUAAAAUAAUGGGUGAGUCCUAGUUUAAGUCACAAGUAUUUUUUACUUGUAAAUAAUAUAAACAGAUUUUUGCAUAAAGACAUUCUGUGUAGAUAUCAACAAUUAAAGACCACAGAGAAAAAUAAAAAAGAAAUCUAGAAUCCAAAACAAACCAAUAAAACCAAGCCAAGUCACUAGCUAAAAUCUUUAGUCCAUGGUCCAAAAUCACAAUCACAAAGCACCUUAUCUUUCUCUACCACCACAUCUUUUCAUACUAUAUCAUAUAAUUCCAUAACCAACCUUCUCUUCCAUUCCAUUCCAUUCACUCAUCAAACCAAAAACAAUGGCAGCAUCAGCAUCAUCCAUGAUCUCAACAAACGCCCUAACAUCCACACUCCAAAAACACCAAACACACAACCUCAAACCAUCAAACCUAUGUUUCCAAGGCUUCAAACCCUUAACAAGAUCAACAAAACUGACACAGAACAAAAAGAGAUUCUCAUCCCUUGUUGUCAAAGCUGAACUCAACCCUUCACUUGUGAUAAGCUUAAGCACUGGUCUGUCAUUGUUUUUAGGAAGGUUUGUGUUCUUCAACUUCCAAAGAGAGAAUGUUGCAAAACAAGGUUUACCUGAACAGAAUGGUGUGACACACUUUGAAGCUGGUGACUCACGUGCUAAGGAAUAUGUUAGCUUGCUUAAGUCAAAUGAUCCUGUCGGGUUUAACCUUGUUGAUGUUUUGGCUUGGGGUUCUAUAGGUCAUAUUGUUGCUUAUUAUAUCUUGGCCACUUCUAGCAAUGGUUAUGAUCCUAGUUUCUUUGGUUAAUUAAGAUUACUAUGUUGUUCGUUUAUGUUGUUUUAAUUUGUCUUUUCUUGUCCCUUUUAUGUUUAUUAAGAUGAUGAUGAUGAUGAUGAUGUAUAGUUUAUUUGUAUGAGAUAUUCAACAAGUUAAGUUCCUUGGAUUAAAGCAUUUUGAUUUGGAUAAAAGCUUCUCUGGACUAUGAAACCUUUUUUCUAUAUUGAAAAUUAUAUUUAAUUUUGUAUUGUUUGCAUAUAAAUAUAUAUUGAUAUAAAUGCCAAGAAAUUAGUAAAUUAUGGUGCUCGUAAAUAAGGUUUUGAAAUUAAACCUCUAAGGCAUUGAAGUGUAAAAGUUGCUUCAACGUUUACAAAAAGUAAAUAAAUUUAAUAUGAAACGUAGGAGUUUUUGCUGCAUAUACCCCGUUUUUGAAUUUUUUUAUUCAAUAUGUCUCCAUCUGAAAAUAAUUUCCCAAUCUACCUCCUUUUUUAUUGUGUACUUGUCACUUCAAAUGACGAGGGGUUGAAGGCCUAAUUUUCGUAGUAAGGUCUCGUCACUUCAAUGGACGAGGACAUGAAGAAGGUUUUUUUUUUUUUUUUUAAUAUUUUAAAUACUUUAUUAAAUACUAAUAAUAAUUAAUAUAAUUGAUUUUUAAUUAUUAAUUCUAUAUUUAAUUAAUAUAAUUAAUUUAAUUAAAAAUAAUAAUAAUUUUUUUAUAAAAAAUAUUUAAAGUAAAUUGUAAAUAAUUAUAGUUUUUCAUGAUAAAAAAAAAUUGUAAUAUAAUUAUUUUUGAAAUAUUAAUAAUAAAAAUGAUUAAUUUUUAGAAUAUUAAUAAUAGAAAUAAUUUGUGUCUUAUAUAUUAAUAAUAAAAUUGAUAUGUUUCCCUCCAAAGUGUCAAUCAUUUUUUGGGAAUGAUAUCUUUCCCACCAAAAAGUUUUUGUGUUUGUACUGUCUCGGCCAAUGAUUGGCCGAGUAUUCAACUAUUAAUUUUUGUAUAAAUAGCAGAACUUGUAGAAAUGUAACUCAGAUCACCAAAUCCUUUCUUUAGUUCAUGUCUGUUUGUGGUCUUGUAUUUUAUGGACAUGGUGAAAAAAUGAGUGUUUGCCUUGAUCCGCAAUGGAAUUUCAGAACACUGAUUUCAGCCAUCCACACUGGCUUCCGACAAUUGGGUGGACGUCGUAUGAAGGUGAGGAAAGUAGAGUAUCGUUGUCCAUACAUAACGUUGACUGAUGCAAGCCCCGAUGGUACGUACAUGUAUUACCUGGAUCGUAUAGAAAAUGAAUGCAGAUGUCCAGUUGUAUGUUUUUCGGCACAUAGUGGUGAAGUUAUAGAGAGGAGUUGAAGGUCCACUUGUGGUUGGGGUUGUUGUUGUUGAUUAGUUUUUUAAUUAACCGUUGUGUUUUUGUUGUUGGUUGUUUAGUUAAUGUGGUCUUACUUUGUAACGAUAACCUUUGAUUAACAAA
This 11938-nucleotide long non-coding RNA is filed under the name Lathyrus oleraceus (garden pea). RNAcentral describes it as "Pisum sativum (pea) long non-coding RNA (PSAT_LNC021971)". Lineage: Eukaryota; Viridiplantae; Streptophyta; Magnoliopsida; Fabales; Fabaceae. The record is from RNAcentral.